RNAcentral lists this transfer RNA (77 nucleotides) under Mycobacteroides abscessus subsp. massiliense. RNAcentral's name for it is "tRNA-Thr(cgt)". It matches the Rfam family "tRNA". From Rfam's summary of the family: Transfer RNA (tRNA) molecules are approximately 80 nucleotides in length. Their secondary structure includes four short double-helical elements and three loops (D, anti-codon, and T loops). Lineage: Bacteria; Bacillati; Actinomycetota; Actinomycetes; Mycobacteriales; Mycobacteriaceae. The record is from RNAcentral.
GGCCGCCUUAGCUCAGUCGGUAGAGCAGCUCACUCGUAAUGAGCAGGUCAGCGGUUCGAUUCCGCUAGGCGGCUCCC